Molecule: long non-coding RNA, 458 nt
Organism: Melospiza melodia melodia
Lineage: Eukaryota; Metazoa; Chordata; Aves; Passeriformes; Passerellidae
Exons: 3
Source: RefSeq, a predicted model, not a curated record
CCCGUGUGUCCUCAGGCAGGACAGGGAUCUGGGGUGAGCCUGGCUCCCUGGGAGCUCCCCAAAGCCCCAGAACUGCCUGAUGGGGGUCAGCCUGGACACCCAGCACCAGAGGCAUCUUCUGGCUCUUUGAUCCUGACAGGAGCUGCACAGGAUCCCAGCCCUGCUUUGGGAGGGGGACACCAGGCUCUGGACACAGGGUACAGGAGCCACCCCGAAGCAGAUGAAGGACAAACAGAGCACUGUCCUGGGCAUGGUGAUCCCAAACCACCAGUGUUUGAAGGGAAGGGAACCCUGCUGAGGACUGAAAUCCAUUUCUGUGCGGUUUUCCCCCUGUGCAAACCUUUCUCUGCUAUCAGGAGCUCCACUCUGCUUUGUUUGUGCCUCAGUUUCCCCAAGGACAAGGCAGCUUUUUGUGGCUGAUUAUCUUCCCUGCCCCAGUGCAGGAGCACUGCAGCCCU